AGUGAAGCGGGAUGAAGCUCAAAUUUAAAAUCUGGCUGGUUUACUAGUCCGAAUUGUAGUUUAAAGAAGCGUUUUCGGUGGCAGCCUGGGUAUAAAUCCUUUGGAAUAGGGUAUCAUAGAGGGUGAGAAUCCCGUCUUUGACUCAGUGAAUGCUACUAUGUGAUACGUUUUCAAAGAGUCGAGUUGUUUGGGAAUGCAGCUCAAAAUGGGUGGUAAAUUUCAUCUAAAGCUAAAUAUUGGCGAGAGACCGAUAGCGAACAAGUACCGUGAGGGAAAGAUGAAAAGAACUUUGAAAAGAGAGUUAAACAGUACGUGAAAUUGUUGAAAGGGAAACGUUUGACACCAGUCAUGCGGGUGGAAAAUCAGUCUUUUAGAGUAGGGAGUGGUGGGGGUUCGGACCGCAAGGCUGGCCUUUAUCUCAUCUCUGCGCUAAUGGAUGCACUUUUUCAUUUGCAGGUCAACAUCAGUUUCUUCUGCUGGACAAAACUCCGAGAGAAGGUAGCAGCUUUGGCUGUGUUAUAGCUCUGGAGCGAUACAGUGGAGGGGACUGAGGUUUUCGCAGUGUGUGCUCUCGGGCAAGGUUGAUUGGGUGCUAUGUGAUCGUUCGGUGUACAAUGCAUGCAUUUUGCGCUGUGUCUUUUGCAUACUCGCCUGACUCGACUCUUCCACGCUUAGGAUGUUGACUUAAUGGUUUUAAACGACC
RNAcentral lists this ribosomal RNA (703 nucleotides) under Podila epicladia. Its description in RNAcentral is "eukaryotic LSU rRNA". It matches the Rfam family "Eukaryotic large subunit ribosomal RNA", at positions 92 to 649 of the family's 3401-position model. The record is from RNAcentral. Lineage: Eukaryota; Fungi; Mortierellomycota; Mortierellomycetes; Mortierellales; Mortierellaceae.